GAUGUGGGAUGCUUCGAUCACAGAGAAGGAGGUCGUCCGGGAUGCGGAUGCAGAGGCUUGAUCCGUGGAAGAUGGAUACGGACGGGAUCUUGGGCUUCUUCACAGGCUGCUGGGAUGCUUGCAAAUGGGAUUCGCUGGGAGGAGCCGCGAGGAAGACGAACGGCUGGAUGUGAUAAUUGAAUGGGCGGAAGAAGAGGCGGAGGAGGGGCUGUUGCUGGGAUCACGGGGACGUUGAUAGGAGCUGGAGAUCCGGAAGAAAUCUGAGAGAGACGCGGAGGAUGGCGUGGAGGUGUCGUGGACGGUGGGAUGGCUGGGCGCGAU
Molecule: long non-coding RNA, 321 nt
Filed under: Phoenix dactylifera (date palm)
Lineage: Eukaryota; Viridiplantae; Streptophyta; Magnoliopsida; Arecales; Arecaceae
Description: long non-coding RNA (PDAC_LNC016215)
Source: RNAcentral